CCUGGGGGAAUGCGGCAGGGGGGACCCGGGUCAAGGCUCACCAUCGCUGCCCUGGGAUAGUGCGCGCCAGGCUGGGCGAGGGCAGGGCGCCGGGGCAGGUGCUCACGAACCACACACUACGGCAAGGCCAGGAGGGCCGUGUUUCCCACAGUGGAGCCCCUGCCGCACAGACAAGAGGGUCAGGGACGGAAGCACCGCGCGCAACCAGCAGUUCCAGACUCGGUCCCUCUGGACAAGAUGGACAAGGCUUUCUAGGAAAAGCCGUGAAACUGGAGCGCAGACGACUCAGCUGAGGUGAAAAUCUAUUGCCAUGCAUAGUAGAGGCUGUACUGAUCAAAGCGGGUAAUAAAACACGUAUGAUCAAAACAUCACACUUGCUGUAAGAAAAAUGCAUAUUUAGGCAGACAGAUCUAGAAGGACGUGCAUCAAGAUGUUAAAACUAGUCGCCUAUAGGAAGGAAGGAGAAGAAUACUUUUGCCUCUGUAUUUUCUAAUUGUCUAGAAGGUACCACACCCUGCUCCGUAAUAAUACAAAAGUUGUAUUUUGAUUUGAAAACAAAACGUCAAAAAAAGUUACCGGACCAAGGCAACCUAGGUGAGCAUUUUGAGAAAAUAGGGGAAACUGGUCUAUACUGGAAUAUAAACCGUACUGAAACACAGUGACCCAUCAGCACUUGAAGUAACAGUACGACCCAAGAACCAUGUGCGUUAGAAUCAGCUGGAGAAAAAUGAACAGAGUUCUCGUGCCCUGCCUCGAUCCACGGACUCCAAAUCUCCGAAGAGAACCCACACAUUGGCAUUUCUUACCAGUCCUCCCCGCCCACAGCUGGCGCACGACGCCCUGACAUUUGAGAACCCCACGCGGUGACACACACAAUCUGUCCUACGCCAAACUGCACCAGACAACUGUCACCACCGUCGUUCUCUGGCUACUCAGGGGAGCAACAGAAAACCCAGGACUGGAUGCACGGAACAGCGGCUGAAAAGUCCAUCCAUUUUUACAACUGAAGAUACUCCAGUGCUGGUAUGCCCUGAGGACUCUGUCCUGCGCUCCCAGUCAGGGCGAGCUCGUGCACCCUUUCCAGUAGUCGGGAGCCUUAGAAAGCUUCCUAUGUUUAACCUGGCGACUGUACUUCUAAGGAUCUAUCCUUACAAAACGUCCGAAACAAAGACAAGACUUGACACAAACCGGCCAGCCCGAACCGAGCCAGGAAAAAGGUGAAGGUCUAGGACGGAGGAAAACCAAAGAUCAGGCCCUACUGGGCCAGGUCGAUGGCAACAACCGCCCGGACCUGAGUAGCAUCUACUUCUUUAGACAGCGAGGCCCUGGCCCGUCCGCCUCACGCCCGGCUCGCCUACUCGCUUCUGCUGCACACCUAUUACCUGCCGUCCCACACUAUCCAACGUCUCCCGCCUCAGCAAAAGGAGAGGGUGGGCAACGAGCAGUGACAAUACGAGGCUCUGCAGCAUCCCGCUGUCCCUCAUAAACACAAAGGGAAAAACGGUGUCGAGACAGCUGGCCCCUCGGGGGCCAGAGCAGAGCGACCCCCAGCUCACAGCUGGCUCCCCGCGACACUGGAGAUGAAAGCCCGGCACCUACAAGUGGCCUUCGGGGCCGGUGCUGUGACCCGCCCGGUCGAUGCGCCUCGUCCCCUCCCUGCUCCGUGUGCUGCCUUCCCACCACAGCCCCCUCUACGGCGUCUCCGCCACCAGGCUCGGAGACGCGCACUCGGUGGCCUCUGGCCUCACGACUGGCCCCACGCUCGCUGCCUUCUCCUGCCAGGAAUCCACUGAAGCGUCUCCUCCCUGACAGGCCUUCCCUGACCGCCCUACCUAAGUAUGUCACCCCUCCACAGCCCCCCACUCCCCACCUCACCUCCUACUCUGACCCUUCUCAGCACCUACCGCUCUCAGCAACCACACCACAGCUGCUUGUUGACUGUGUCUGGGCGCCAGGCUCUAAGCCAUUCCUCGUGGAGGAACCUCCGGCCUCCAGCACAGCGUGACACGUCACGUGUGCAACAGACAUCUGAAGGCCGACAGACUGAAUGAGCGAGCGAGCGAGCGACGGUGGGAAAUAGCACAGACACCCCCCGCCCGUGACCCCUGACUUCUGCUUACCUCUUCCGCUUCUUCUUCUGAGUCAACCACGGGGAAGUCUUGCAGGGACUGAGUGGUACGCUCAGAGCCGUAAGCGCCCACGGCACCUUUGCCCUUUCUCUGUCUGGCUUCGAUUGGGUUAAUGAUACCUGACAGAUUUCAGCAAAAGGUAAAAAGAUUUCAGAUGGUCA
Molecule: long non-coding RNA, 2290 nt
Organism: Neofelis nebulosa (Clouded leopard)
Lineage: Eukaryota; Metazoa; Chordata; Mammalia; Carnivora; Felidae
Exons: 2
Source: RefSeq, a predicted model, not a curated record